RNAcentral lists this ribosomal RNA (497 nucleotides) under uncultured bacterium. RNAcentral describes it as "partial 16S ribosomal RNA". It matches the Rfam family "Bacterial small subunit ribosomal RNA", at positions 28 to 507 of the family's 1533-position model. The record is from RNAcentral.
GAUGAACGCUGGCGGCGUGCCUAAUACAUGCAAGUCGAGCGAACAGACGAGGAGCUUGCUCCUCUGACGUUAGCGGCUGACGGGUGAGUAACACGUGGAUAACCUACCUAUAAGACUGGGAUAACUUCGGGAAACCGGAGCUAAUACCGGAUAAUAUAUUGAACCGCAUGGUUCAAUAGUGAAAGACGGUUUUGCUGUCACUUAUAGAUGGAUCCGCGCCGCAUUAGCUAGUUGGUAAGGUAACGGCUUACCAAGGCAACGAUGCGUAGCCGACCUGAGAGGGUGAUCGGCCACACUGGAACUGAGACACGGUCCAGACUCCUACGGGAGGCAGCAGUAGGGAAUCUUCCGCAAUGGGCGGAAGCCUGACGGAGCAACGCCGCGUGAGUGAUGAAGGUCUUCGGAUCGUAAAACUCUGUUAUUAGGGAAGAACAAAUGUGUAAGUAACUAUGCACGUCUUGACGGUACCUAAUCAGAAAGCCACGGCUAACUACGUG